RNAcentral lists this ribosomal RNA (253 nucleotides) under uncultured bacterium. RNAcentral describes it as "partial 16S ribosomal RNA". It matches the Rfam family "Bacterial small subunit ribosomal RNA", at positions 524 to 776 of the family's 1533-position model. The record is from RNAcentral.
UACGAACCGUCCAAACGUUGUUCGGAAUCACUGGGCUUAAAGGGCGCGUAGGCGGACUGCCAAGUCCGGGGUGAAAUCUUUCGGCUUAACCGGAAAAGGGCCUUGGAAACUGGCGGUCUCGAGGGAGGUAGGGGCGUGUGGAACUUCGGGUGGAGCGGUGAAAUGCGUUGAUAUCCGAAGGAACGCCGGUGGCGAAAGCGACGGGCUGGAUCUAUUCUGACGCUGAGGCGCGAAAGCCAGGGGAGCAAACGGG